This 85-nucleotide transfer RNA is filed under the name Felis catus (domestic cat). It matches the Rfam family "tRNA". Rfam says of the family: Transfer RNA (tRNA) molecules are approximately 80 nucleotides in length. Their secondary structure includes four short double-helical elements and three loops (D, anti-codon, and T loops). The record is from Rfam by way of RNAcentral. Lineage: Eukaryota; Metazoa; Chordata; Mammalia; Carnivora; Felidae.
ACCUGGGUGGCUCAGUCGGUGAAGCAUCUGACUUCGGCUCAGGUCAUGAUCUCAUAGUUUGUGGGUUCAAGCCCCGCUUUGGGCU